UGGAGUAAAAGCUGAAUACCUCUUGUGCUUGAAACAUCUAGUUGAUCUGUUACGUGAUAACAGAAAAACGAGCAAAGAUCGAUCCAGCAAUGCUGCUUUACAAGAGUUGAAAGAUGAAAUUAAACGCGUUGAAGUUGAACUCUCGAAGAAAGGAGGGCGUAGAAGUUAGCUACUCAAUGGCGUAAGUCCAUAUCAAUCAAGUACAGAGAUAAACGCUUCAACUCUGUAAAGACAUUGAUGCCAUUUUGUAAUAGUUGUAGGAGGAAGGAAGUAAAACGAAAAAUCGGACAAAGAAAAAAGGGAAGAUUGCGUAGCCUCGGUCUGAAAAAAGUUGAGGUCGGUUAUAUGAAUCUUCAUUUCCUCGGUUUUACUGAAUCUUAUAUG
This 384-nucleotide unclassified non-coding RNA is filed under the name Hevea brasiliensis (rubber tree). Lineage: Eukaryota; Viridiplantae; Streptophyta; Magnoliopsida; Malpighiales; Euphorbiaceae. The record is from RNAcentral.